This is a long non-coding RNA of Cynoglossus semilaevis (tongue sole), 1251 nucleotides long. RefSeq lists it as uncharacterized. The record is from RefSeq and is a predicted model, not a curated record. The transcript is spliced from 2 exons. Lineage: Eukaryota; Metazoa; Chordata; Actinopteri; Pleuronectiformes; Cynoglossidae.
GGCAGCUGGAGACAGGGACAGGGACAGGGACAGGGACAGGGACAGGGAUGGAGAGCGGGAAGGCGAAGGGCUAACAAUGAGGGCCAACAGUUCGGCCACACAAAGAGGUGAAAUGUGUGAGUGGAACCCGGGUUUUAGAACCUCAUUUAGAACCUGAAGGUCGUUCAUGAACAGAAAAGUUCAAAAACUGAAACCAUUUUCUUCUCCAUAGGAGUCAAUGUCAAAUGGAUGAAUCAGUGAAAUAUUUUUUUCAUCAUUUUUUCAUUGUGUUAUUCUUUGAAACAUUAAUUUAUUCAAUAUCCUUGUUUUUAUUGAGGUUUAGUUCACGAUCAGACUCAUCACUGACCUGGUGCUAAUAAUAACUGGCAGAAUCUUUUCUUUCAGCCUUGGUUUCCACAUUUUCAGGUUCGGCCAAGAAUUUUCAUUUCGAUGCAUCACUACUACACAGGUAUACGUGUAUACAUGUAUACUGCAAGUACAGUGGAGUUGUACACGUGUUGUACUGUCCUGUGCUUAAAGCAGUAUUUUCUUCUCGUAAUGCAAAUAAAUCUGUACUAAUGUUAACCCCGCUCGCCCCAGCUGUGGUGUGUUUACCAACACUGUCCUAUGGAGAAUAGAUCUAGCACUUAGCACUUAGCACUUAGCAUCACUUGUCUCUGUCACUUUUACAGCUAUAUAUACACAGCCAGUAUAGUGUGUCGGAGGUUCAGUUUCUGUGUCUGGACGUCACUCGUCACCCUCGCUGCUCCACUUCCCUCGUCGAUAAAAUAUGUGGACGUACAGGAGACAGUGACCACGGGGAUGGAACACCGGUUUGAUUAGGGGGGGGGCGGGGGGGCUGGGUCACAUAUUUGAAAUUCAAGGGUUAAGUUUCCCAACCUCUGCAGUGCAACACAUUGCUGUGAUCCCUGGCCUAAUUAUAGAGGUGCAGGUUUAGGAGAGGGUGUUUGGGCGAAUGACAGUGGGGGGGGCAGUUACGAUUGAGUGUAAAUAAUUGGAAAUAGCAGCAACAAACCAAACACACGGCACUUCUUUCAAAACCCUUUAUUUAAAGGCCAGAGCGGUGCUACAUGAUGUCUUUAUACAGGAAUAAAAAUGAGCAAAAACCUUCGAAAAAAGCACAAAAUGAAACGAAUGACUUCAAACCUGAACAAAAAAUAGAACACCUUCACGUUAUGUACAGAGCAGACAAAUAUAAAAUGACACAUCUCACCUUCCCUCAGGUGAAACCCAAUCACUGUACAGCACACG